CAUAACACCGUUUUUUACUGUGCAAUUUCAAAAGAGCAUAAGAGUCCCUUUUUUCUUCUUUAGAAGGCGAUCCUUUUUUGUUUCUAUUACGGCUAAGAGGUACAUGUAAGACUUAGUGCUUCCCUCUAUGAUAAGAAAAAGAAAUGCCAUUUGUCCUCAGAAUUAUCUUUGUUGAAUGCUUGGCUUGUUUCUCUUUGUAUAUUUCCACUUUAGAUAGGCUCUUUAUUUAAUUUUUUGAAAAGCUUGGUGUUGACCAUCAUCAUUCCAUGGAUAUAUAUAUGUAAGAUUUCAAUGCCAUAGAAAUUUGCAUGUUCUGAUCUUAAAGUGUCAACAUACAAAGUACUGUAAUUUCUAACUAUUUGAGACGGUAGAAAUCACAGUGAGAUUGUAUCCUCAUAUUUAUGUGUUAGAGUGAUAAUGACUAUUAUAUUCAAUGACCUCAAACGUAUGCAUUAAUCUUGAUGUAUCCUCUGGAUAAUUAAGUCAUGUUAUAUUUGGCUGUAUAUCAACACAUAAAUCGCCAAAUACUUGCACCACCCGCCAAGCAAGAUAAAAUAUAUCAUGGGAGCUAAUUUUUUUCCGAGGGUCAUGGUCCUUAAUUCUUUAUUCUAAUGUUUUUGAUUCCCUUUUUUGGCAAAGACAUCACUUCAUACGAGGCAGAGGCUAUACUUCGUACGAGGUGAAAGUUUUCAACGUCCGAGGCAAAGACUUUAUUUUAUUUAAAACUUGACUUUCUUUGGCUACGACAAAGACCAUUAUAUCGUUUGAACUGAAAAUUUUAUUUUAUAUGAGGCAAAGAACAUUACAUCAUGUUGGCCGAAAAAUUUAUUUUAUUUGAAAAUUUAACUUUCUUUAUCUGUGGCAAAGAUCAUUACAUUAUUUAAGUCAAAAAUUUUAUUUUUAUAUGAGUCAUAGACCAUUACACCAUCUAAGCCAAAUAUUUUACUUUUAUCUGAGGUGAAGACCAUUACACCAUCUGAGCCAAAGAUUUAUUUUAUCUGAAGCGAAGACCAUUACACCGUCUAAGCUAAAGACUUCACUUUAUUUGAAAAUUUGACUUUCUUUUAUCUGUGGCAAAGACCAUUACACCAUCUAAGCCAAAGAUUUUACUUUUAUCUGAAACGAAGACCAUUACACCUUCUAAGCUAAUGGCUUCAUCUUGUUUGAAGAUUUAACUUCAUUUUAUCUGAGGCAUAGACCAUUAUACCGUCUGGGCCAAAGAUUUAUUUUGUCUGAAGCGAAGACCAUUACACCGUCUAAGCUAAUGACUUCAUAUUGUUUAAAGAUUUAACUUCAUUUUAUCUGAGGCAUAGACCAUUACACCGUCUGGGUCAAAGAUUUAUUUUGUCUGAAGCGAAGACCAUUACACCGUCUAAGCUAAUGACUUCAUCUUGUUUGAAGAUUUAACUUCAUUUUAUCUGAGGCAUCCAUUACACCGUCUGGGCUAAAGAUUUAUUUUGUCUGAAGCGAAGACAAUUACACCGUCUGACUUAAAGACUUUACUUUUUAUCUAAGGCAAAGACCAUUACUCCGUAUGAGCCAAAGAUUUAUUUUGCAAAGGCGAAGACAACCAUCCAAGCUGAAGACUUUACUUUGUCCGAUGCUAAGACCAUUAUACCGUCUGAGCUGAAGACUAUACUUUGUCCUAGACGAAGACCAGCAAAGUCCAUUAUACAGUCUAACUUGAAGAUUUUACUUCACCACUAAAAGAUUUGACCUUUCAGCGCAAAGGAAUGAAAACUCGUCCUCAUUUCGAGAUAUAUGAAUCAGAGAUUAUAUGAAGCAUGAUUUAUCUUUUUUCAAAAAGCUGUCCACCAAGAAUAUCUCUUCAACUUCAAUCUUCACAGGUAAUUUUAUGAUCUCCUUUAUACAGAUAUGUUUCUCCUUUUUUUUUUUGCAGGUAGAAGAAGAAAUCAAUUCCAAAGAUACUACUUUAGUAAAGAUAACCUCAUAGUCAAAGAAUCUUUUUUUUACAUUUCAACUUAAAGACAUGGCAGACUUUAAGGCUUCUACUUGAAAACUUGACAGAUUUGAAGACUUCGACUUGAAGACUUAGUAGAUUUGAAGACUUUAACUUGAUGAUUCGAUUUGAAGGUUAAAGUAUAAGAGUUAAACUUGAAGUAGCCACUUUGAAGAAUUCAACUCGAAGACGUGGCAGACUUGGAUAGUUGAAGACUUAGCGGACUAGAAGAAUUUAACUCAACUUCAACUUGAAGAUUUAGCAUGCAGAGACUUCAAAUCAAUGAUAUAGAAAAUAUGAAGAAUUCAACUUGGCGACUUGGAAAACUUGAAGAAUUCAGCUAAAAGACAUGACGGUCUUGAAAACUUUGCAGCCUACUAAAGACUAUAAUUGUCUUGAAGAUAACAAUCUCGGUGAAGAGGAUCAAGUCAUUCUGCAGUUUAUAACAAGUGAGCUUCUUUGUUUUUAAUACUUUAUGGAUUUGAUGACUUGGCACACUUGAAUACUGCAACUUUAAGACCUAGCGGGCUUGAAUACUUCAAAUUGAUGAUGUAAUAGACUUGACAAAAUUAACUUGGCUUAGAAUUGGAGCCUUCAACUUGAAUAUUUAGCCUCUUAUUAAAGAAACUACAAUAAUUCCAUCAAAGACCUCAAUUUGACAUGGAGGGCUUGCCCCUAUUGACCCAUUAAGAUAAGACAAAGAGUUCAACAAAAGAAUACAUGUACACCUAAUUUUCAAGUGUCAAUCAAGUG
This 2713-nucleotide long non-coding RNA is filed under the name Nicotiana tabacum (common tobacco). Its description in RNAcentral is "long non-coding RNA (NTAB_LNC002613)". Lineage: Eukaryota; Viridiplantae; Streptophyta; Magnoliopsida; Solanales; Solanaceae. The record is from RNAcentral.